Cucumis sativus (cucumber) is the source of this 2721-nucleotide long non-coding RNA. RefSeq lists it as uncharacterized. The transcript is spliced from 4 exons. The record is from RefSeq and is a predicted model, not a curated record. NCBI's taxonomy places the organism in Eukaryota, Viridiplantae, Streptophyta, Magnoliopsida, Cucurbitales, Cucurbitaceae.
UUCCCCCCUCUAUUCUUCAUUUUAGCAAUUGGGGUCCUUUGCUUCUUUUUUUUUUGUUGUAAUUUUUAUAUUUAUAUGAUUGCUCGAUAAGCUUGUAGUGUAGAACUCGAGUGGGAAACAUCAAUGGCGAACAAAAUUAUUUUUUUCGAUCUUUACAUCAAGAUGAUAUUCACUGAAGUUUUAUGAAGAUGGAAAAAAGGCUCAACAUGACAUGCAUUCUUUCUUUUGGAAUCCAGACAAAUGCUAGUCUCAUCAUGAAACAAGAUUCAAAUAUGGAAGCAGAUUCUGCUUUUCCUGAAUGUGAGGAGAAGGAAGUACGUAUGUCUGAUGUAGAAAAAAUGGAGGGGAAUGUAGAAGAGUUCUCGACUGAACAUGAAGGCAAAGAGAAAGAAGCAGUAUCUUCGGCAGUUCAAGAAGAUAGCAAAAUGAAAGAAGGCUCCCCUACAGAACAAGUAGAUGACAUGAAAGAAGCUGUAACUGAAGUUGGGAGCGCCACUGAAGCUGGGAAGUCUGCUCAAAAGUCCGUCAAAGAAGGGUUGCGUAAAAAGAGAAUUGUAAAAGUUCUGAAAGUAAAAAAGAAAAUUAUAAAGAAAUCCCCAGCUAACAGUGUGUUGAAAAAAAAAGAAGCACAGGUUGAACAGGAAGAUGAAAAAAGGAAAAAGAGGUUCCUGUAGCUCAAGAAGUGGAAGAAAGUCCUUUGACUCAGAACCCCACUGAAAGUUCCAAUCCAGAGUCAAAGAAGAAGAGUAAUAAUGAAGUUUUAAAGGUGAAAAGGAAAAUUGUAAAGAAAUCUCCAGCCAGUAGUCAAAAGAAGACUAAUAAGCUUCAGAAUAGUCCUAAGGUGCAAGUCAGAAAGAAAGUGGAGAAUAGUAAGAGUUCGUUGCAGGAGAAUGGGGAAGUAAGUGAAAAAAAGGUAGAAGAUACUGAGGAGCCUAACCAAAAGGAAAAUGUUAAGAAAAGUGUAUCAAAAGAGGAGCAUAUAGAAAAGGGAGAAGAGACUUCUGCUAGUAAAAAGCAAAAUUCUGAGUCUAAAAAUAGCGUCAAGGAAGGGAAGAUCAUAGAGAAGGCUGGUUCUUCAAGUAAAAGCAUAAAGAAUCAGAAAAAGAAAGAAAAGGUUAGAGAGCAAAGGAGUCGAAGGGAAGAUAAAAAUAAAGAAAAUCUUGGUGGACUGAUUUUCAUGUGCAGUGCAAAAACGAAGCCAGAUUGUUUUCACUACAACGUAAUGGGUGUUUCUGCUGGCAAAAUGGAUGUUGUCUUGGCAAUUAAGCCUGGCUUGAAGCUCUUUCUCUACGAUUUUGAUCUCAAGCUUCUGUAUGGGAUUUAUAAAGCAUCCUCUACCGGUGGCAUGAAACUUGAGCCAAAGGCUUUUAAUGGGGCUUUCCCUGCUCAGGUGCGGUUCAAUAUUUACAAGGAUUGUUUUCCACUACCUGAGAAUGUUUUCAAGGAGGCUAUCCAAGAGAACUAUUAUGAGAAGCACAAGUUCAAAGCCGAGCUCACUGUUAAACAGGUUAGGAAGCUCUCAGAUCUUUUCCGACCAGUUGCACUCCAUUCGAGUGCUGCUCCUGUCUUGUCCCAUGUGGAGGUACCAAUUAGGGAUAGAAAUGUUUAUGGGAAAGCUAAAGACAUUCGGAUUAGGAACUCUAAGUCCAAGGAUGAUGCCAGGAAAAAAUACCAUUUGUCAUCUCAUGGAAGGGAUCGACAGAGAGAAGAGGCACCUAGACGUAGAGAGGAGGUUCCUCGUGAUUUAUACCUAAGCGAAAGGGACUAUCGAACAUAUGGGCUCCGGGCAGAGAGAAGAAAUUUAGACCCUGUAUCUCGAUCUUCUUUAGAAACAUACCGCAGGGAUCAUGAUAGGGACUAUCCACUGAAACAUCUAGAGCCUAGAUACAGGGAUGAUGUCUCGACACACGCACAGAGAGAAAUAGUCCAUUCGGAUCAAGUAUACUUUAAUGGGAAAGAUUAUCCAGUUUACAGUAUUGAUUCUAGACAUCAAAUAUCACCUCGAAGACCAAUAUCUGCUAGUGGUACAGAACACAAUGCUUAUGAUUCAAUUUACAGUCGUUAUGGCCUUUCUUCUAUUGAUCCAUAUCUGCUUUCAUCAAGGAGGGAGGAAGCAGCCCCUCCAACUUAUUCAAGAAGUUAUUUAGCUGAUACUGAACCCAUGAGACAUGCUGCUGGUUCUCUAUCGCAUUACAAUCAAGUGCACUACAAAGAUGUGGAAAAAGAUACAAUGCCGGUUUCAUCGCUGUACUCAUUCGCUGGUCCAUCGUUCUCUUAUCGCUAACUUUGAUUUCCAUUUUUUGUCCAGAAUUCCAUAUAGCAAUAGAACUUCGACUGCGUAUGAAAUUUUGAGUCUCAGACCCUCAUUGUGCAGUUGGAAUUCCAUCUUACCUUUUUAGUAGUGAUAAUGUGACGAUGGGGGAAGUAGGGUUUUGGCUGUUGUAUUGGAUUUUGUUGGCGAGUGCUUAAUUACUUGCAAGAUUGCUCUAUCAAACUGGGGUUCUUAAUCAUUGCUGCACUUGUUUUUGACGCGAUGUAGAAUUUGAGGAUGAUUGCAAAUUGUUGAUGAAAAAUCUCGAGUAGGUCAAGAAUAAUGUGAAUAUGGAGGACGUUAUUUAUGUAGCACAAUUGUUUUUAACGAUUUCACUUUUUGUAACUCUAGGUAGUUUUGUAAAGUUAGGCAGGUUUGCAUGCUUCUUAUACAGUACAUUGUUUAAAUUA